RNAcentral lists this ribosomal RNA (506 nucleotides) under uncultured bacterium. RNAcentral describes it as "partial 16S ribosomal RNA". It matches the Rfam family "Bacterial small subunit ribosomal RNA", at positions 29 to 523 of the family's 1533-position model. The record is from RNAcentral.
AGUGAACGCUGGCGGUAGGCCUAACACAUGCAAGUCGAACGGCAGCACAGGAGAGCUUGCUCUCUGGGUGGCGAGUGGCGGACGGGUGAGGAAUACAUCGGAAUCUACUCUGUCGUGGGGGAUAACGUAGGGAAACUUACGCUAAUACCGCAUACGACCUACGGGUGAAAGCAGGGGACCUUCGGGCCUUUCGCGAUUGAAUGAGCCGAUGUCGGAGUAGCUAGUUGGCGGGGGAAAGGCCCACCAAGGCGACGAUCCGUAGCGUGUCUGAGAGGAUGAUCAGCCACACUGGAACUGAGACACGGUCCAGACUCCUACGGGAGGCAGCAGUGGGGAAUAUUGGACAAUGGGCGCAAGCCUGAUCCAGCCAUACCGCGUGGGUGAAGAAGGCCUUCGGGUUGUAAAGCCCUUUUGUUGGGAAAGAAAUCCAGCUGGCUAAUACCCGGUUGGGAUGACGGUACCCAAAGAAUAAGCACCGGCUAACUUCGUGCCAGCCGCCGCGGUAA